RNAcentral lists this ribosomal RNA (460 nucleotides) under uncultured bacterium. RNAcentral describes it as "partial 16S ribosomal RNA". It matches the Rfam family "Bacterial small subunit ribosomal RNA", at positions 338 to 795 of the family's 1533-position model. The record is from RNAcentral.
CCUACGGGCGGCAGCAGUGAGGAAUAUUGGUCAAUGGACGAGAGUCUGAACCAGCCAAGUAGCGUGAAGGAUGACUGCCCUAUGGGUUGUAAACUUCUUUUAUAUGGGAAUAAAACGUUCCACGUGUGGGAUUUUGUAUGUACCAUAUGAAUAAGGAUCGGCUAACUCCGUGCCAGCAGCCGCGGUAAUACGGAGGAUCCGAGCGUUAUCCGGAUUUAUUGGGUUUAAAGGGAGCGUAGGUGGAUUGUUAAGUCAGUUGUGAAAGUUUGCGGCUCAACCGUAAAAUUGCAGUUGAAACUGGCAGUCUUGAGUACAGUAGAGGUGGGCGGAAUUCGUGGUGUAGCGGUGAAAUGCUUAGAUAUCAUGAAGAACUCCGAUUGCGAAGGCAGUUCACUGGACUGCAACUGACACUGAGGCUCGAAAGUGUGGGUAUCAAACAGGAUUAGAUACCCUGGUAGUC